UAGGGAAUCUUCCGCAAUGGACGCAAGUCUGACGGAGCAACGCCGCGUGAGUGAAGAAGGAUUUCGGUUCGUAAAACUCUGUUGUUAGAGAAGAACAGCGCAUAGAGUAACUGUUAUGCGUGUGACGGUAUCUAACCAGAAAGCCACGGCUAACUACGUGCCAGCAGCCGCGGUAAUACGUAGGUCCCGAGCGUUGUCCGGAUUUAUUGGGCGUAAAGCGAGCGCAGGCGGUUAGAAAAGUCUGAAGUGAAAGGCAGUGGCUCAACCAUUGUAGGCUUUGGAAACUGUUUAACUUGAGUGCAGAAGGGGAGAGUGGAAUUCCAUGUGUAACGGUGAAAUGCGUAGAUAUAUGGAGGAACACCGGUGGCGAAAGCGGCUCUCUGGUCUGUAACUGACGCUGAGGCUCGAAAGCGUGGGGAGCGAACAGG
RNAcentral lists this ribosomal RNA (428 nucleotides) under Bacteroidota bacterium. RNAcentral describes it as "Bacteroidetes bacterium partial 16S ribosomal RNA". It matches the Rfam family "Bacterial small subunit ribosomal RNA", at positions 355 to 776 of the family's 1533-position model. The record is from RNAcentral. Lineage: Bacteria; Pseudomonadati; Bacteroidota.